Molecule: ribosomal RNA, 301 nt
Filed under: uncultured bacterium
Lineage: Bacteria
Description: partial 16S ribosomal RNA
Rfam family: Bacterial small subunit ribosomal RNA
Source: RNAcentral
CAGUAGCCACGGGAAUACGUAGGGUGCGAGCGUUAAUCGGAAUUACUGGGCGUAAAGCGUGCGCAGGCGGUUCGUUAAGACAGAUGUGAAAUCCCCGGGCUUAACCUGGGAACUGCAUUUGAAACUGGCAGGCUAGAGUCUUGUAGAGGGGGGUAGAAUUCCAGGUGUAGCGGUGAAAUGCGUAGAGAUCUGGAGGAAUACCGGUGGCGAAGGCGGCCCCCUGGACAAAGACUGACGCUCAGGUGCGAAAGCGUGGGGAGCAAACAGGAUUAGAUACCCCCGUAGUCCUGUCUCUUAUACA